Molecule: ribosomal RNA, 447 nt
Filed under: uncultured bacterium
Lineage: Bacteria
Description: bacterial SSU rRNA
Rfam family: Bacterial small subunit ribosomal RNA
Source: RNAcentral
UGGGGAAUCUUGGACAAUGGGCGCAAGCCUGAUCCAGCCAUGCCGCGUGAGUGACGAAGGUCUUCGGAUUGUAAAGCUCUUUUGGCGGGGACGAUAAUGACGGUACCCGCAGAAUAAGCCCCGGCUAACUUCGUGCCAGCAGCCGCGGUAAUACGAAGGGGGCUAGCGUUGUUCGGAAUUACUGGGCGUAAAGCGCACGUAGGCGGAUUGUUAAGUCAGAGGUGAAAUCCCGGAGCUCAACUUCGGAACUGCCUUUGAUACUGGCAAUCUAGAGUCCGGAAGAGGUUAGUGGAAUUCCCAGUGUAGAGGUGAAAUUCGUAGAUAUUGGGAAGAACACCAGUGGCGAAGGCGGCUAACUGGUCCGGUACUGACGCUGAGGUGCGAAAGCGUGGGGAGCAAACAGGAUUAGAUACCCCCGUAGUCCCUGAGCGGGCUGGCAAGGCGCAU